This 2007-nucleotide ribosomal RNA is filed under the name Campylobacter jejuni subsp. jejuni. RNAcentral's name for it is "partial 23S ribosomal RNA". It matches the Rfam family "Bacterial large subunit ribosomal RNA", at positions 1082 to 2925 of the family's 2925-position model. Lineage: Bacteria; Pseudomonadati; Campylobacterota; Epsilonproteobacteria; Campylobacterales; Campylobacteraceae. The record is from RNAcentral.
UACUUAAACAACCAGGAGGUUGGCUUAGAAGCAGCCAUCCUUUAAAGAAAGCGUAAUAGCUCACUGGUCUAGUGAUUUUGCGCGGAAAAUAUAACGGGGCUAAAGUAAGUACCGAAGCUGUAGACUUGCACACAACUUAGAUUAUUUAAGUUUAGAAUAUUAAGAAACUAAGUUAUAUGUUUUAGUUAUAUUUUUACUGAUUUUUAUAGGGUAAAGAUAGAAAUAAAACUUAGUAAAAUCAGUAAAAAUAUUCUUAGGCUAAAGUUAAGUAGUUUAAGUUGUGUGCAAGUGGUAGGAGAGCGUUCUAUUUGCGUCGAAGGUAUACCGGUAAGGAGUGCUGGAGCGAAUAGAAGUGAGCAUGCAGGCAUGAGUAGCGAUAAUUAAUGUGAGAAUCAUUAACGCCGUAAACCCAAGGUUUCCUACGCGAUGCUCGUCAUCGUAGGGUUAGUCGGGUCCUAAGUCGAGUCCGAAAGGGGUAGACGAUGGCAAAUUGGUUAAUAUUCCAAUACCAACAUUAGUGUGCGAUGGAAGGACGCUUAGGGCUAAGGGGGCUAGCGGAUGGAAGUGCUAGUCUAAGGUCGUAGGAGGUUAUACAGGCAAAUCCGUAUAACAAUACUCCGAGAACUGAAAGGCUUUUUGAAGUCUUCGGAUGGAUAGAAGAACCCCUGAUGCCGUCGAGCCAAGAAAAGUUUCUAAGUUUAGCUAAUGUUGCCCGUACCGUAAACCGACACAGGUGGGUGGGAUGAGUAUUCUAAGGCGCGUGGAAGAACUCUCUUUAAGGAACUCUGCAAAAUAGCACCGUAUCUUCGGUAUAAGGUGUGGUUAGCUUUGUAUUAGGAUUUACUCCGAAAGCAAGGAAACUUACAACAAAGAGUCCCUCCCGACUGUUUACCAAAAACACAGCACUCUGCUAACUCGUAAGAGGAUGUAUAGGGUGUGACGCCUGCCCGGUGCUCGAAGGUUAAUUGAUGGGGUUAGCAUUAGCGAAGCUCUUGAUCGAAGCCCGAGUAAACGGCGGCCGUAACUAUAACGGUCCUAAGGUAGCGAAAUUCCUUGUCGGUUAAAUACCGACCUGCAUGAAUGGCGUAACGAGAUGGGAGCUGUCUCAAAGAGGGAUCCAGUGAAAUUGUAGUGGAGGUGAAAAUUCCUCCUACCCGCGGCAAGACGGAAAGACCCCGUGGACCUUUACUACAGCUUGACACUGCUACUUGGAUAAGAAUGUGCAGGAUAGGUGGGAGGCUUUGAGUAUAUGACGCCAGUUGUAUAUGAGCCAUUGUUGAGAUACCACUCUUUCUUAUUUGGGUAGCUAACCAGCUUGAGUUAUCCUCAAGUGGGACAAUGUCUGGUGGGUAGUUUGACUGGGGCGGUCGCCUCCCAAAUAAUAACGGAGGCUUACAAAGGUUGGCUCAGAACGGUUGGAAAUCGUUCGUAGAGUAUAAAGGUAUAAGCCAGCUUAACUGCAAGACAUACAAGUCAAGCAGAGACGAAAGUCGGUCUUAGUGAUCCGGUGGUUCUGUGUGGAAGGGCCAUCGCUCAAAGGAUAAAAGGUACCCCGGGGAUAACAGGCUGAUCUCCCCCAAGAGCUCACAUCGACGGGGAGGUUUGGCACCUCGAUGUCGGCUCAUCGCAUCCUGGGGCUGGAGCAGGUCCCAAGGGUAUGGCUGUUCGCCAUUUAAAGCGGUACGCGAGCUGGGUUCAGAACGUCGUGAGACAGUUCGGUCCCUAUCUGCCGUGGGCGUAAGAAGAUUGAAGAGAUUUGACCCUAGUACGAGAGGACCGGGUUGAACAAACCACUGGUGUAGCUGUUGUUCUGCCAAGAGCAUCGCAGCGUAGCUAAGUUUGGAAAGGAUAAACGCUGAAAGCAUCUAAGCGUGAAGCCAACUCUAAGAUGAAUCUUCUCUAAGCUCUCUAGAAGACUACUAGUUUGAUAGGCUGGGUGUGUAAUGGAUGAAAGUCCUUUAGCUGACCAGUACUAAUAGAGCGUUUGGCUUAUCUUUAAUAAAGCAU